Molecule: small RNA, 573 nt
Filed under: Rattus norvegicus (Norway rat)
Lineage: Eukaryota; Metazoa; Chordata; Mammalia; Rodentia; Muridae
Description: uncharacterized LOC102557230
Source: RNAcentral
UUCCCAACAGACGUUCUUUUGUAUCUAUUGUGUUCAAAGUUUCCAGAUGGACAAGCCAUGCAGUUGCAGGCACUCCCUUGUUCACAUGGUAUUGACUAACAGUUCUAUGGUUACGUUCGGUUGAAAGAGAUACUGAAUUAUGUGGUCCCCAACUGUGUGGUCAUAAACAUUUUAGUACUGGGACCUGCCUCAAUGAGGAAGAAAAUUAAAAUGACUUCUGCAGUCAACUUGCUAAGCUAUCAUCCAUUGCUUCUGAUGCAGAGACCUUCUGUGGACAUCAACCCGCCUGGGCAUAUAGGACUGGAUUCAUCUUUUCCCAUUGAGGCUAGACAAGACAUUUCAGAAUCUGACGUAGUAAAAGUAAGAGCGGGAGACUGCAAUCAAUCGUUUCCUAACUUCGAUGAACUCAGAAGCGGAUAGCUUCCACAAAAUGCGAAAGAAAAGACAGAUUUUACAGUUCCCAUCAGACUGUGUAACUCCCCUGACAAACUGUCCCAAUGGCUUUGCACUGCUCUGAGAGAUAAAUAAUAAAUACCCACCAUUGCUAGCCCGACAAAACCUUUUACUAUUAAA